This 23-nucleotide transfer RNA is filed under the name Disa tenuifolia. RNAcentral describes it as "partial tRNA-Phe". Lineage: Eukaryota; Viridiplantae; Streptophyta; Magnoliopsida; Asparagales; Orchidaceae. The record is from RNAcentral.
UCGGGAUAGCUCAGUUGGUGGAG